This 73-nucleotide transfer RNA is filed under the name Stegodyphus mimosarum. It matches the Rfam family "tRNA". From Rfam's summary of the family: Transfer RNA (tRNA) molecules are approximately 80 nucleotides in length. Lineage: Eukaryota; Metazoa; Arthropoda; Arachnida; Araneae; Eresidae. The record is from Rfam by way of RNAcentral.
GCCUUCGUGGUGUAGUCGUCAUCACGCUCAGCUCGUAUCCGAGAGGUCCGUGGUUCGACUCCCGUCUAAGGCA